Molecule: long non-coding RNA, 1720 nt
Organism: Cicer arietinum (chickpea)
Lineage: Eukaryota; Viridiplantae; Streptophyta; Magnoliopsida; Fabales; Fabaceae
Source: RefSeq, a predicted model, not a curated record
AGGCACCAGCGAGGAUCUUUCGCACAUGCUUUUGUUAAGCAUGGAGAAAGGUUUGGAGAUGAUAGUGAAAAAGUUCGGAAGUGGAACCCUUGACGGAGGUUGCAGAGCUUUCUGGCCGGAGCUCCGAGGGCGUGAAACAUAACUCAUUGAAGAAAUUGUUGCAGAAGUAUGAAAAAGGUUACAACCUAAAUUGCCACAUUAUGAUGAUGAAAUGAUUGGAACUGAUUCAAGGAUAAACAACGUGUGUUCACUUUUAAGGACAUAGUUAGAGGAAAUUAUCCUAGUGAAUCCCUUAAACUUUUUAGUCAAAAAGCUUUUAGAAGAGGAAAAACUGAAGAAGCUUUUGUAGAUUUAUCAAAACGGGUGGUUCAAUGUGCUGAAGGUAUUCCCUUAUGGGAAGACACUUUGAAAAUGUUGCAGCAGGAUCUACAAAAUGAUAUUUGCAAGACACUGAGAAUAAGCUAUGAUGGAUUGCGUGAUAUGGAAAAUACGAUAUUUUUAGAUAUUGCAUGUUUUUUCAAGGAGAGCCCCAAGGAUCAUGUAACACAAAUAUUGAAAAAUUGUGGUCUUAAUCCAUUGAUUGGUAUUGGCAUUCUUGUUGAAAAAUCAUUAAUAACUUAUGAUGGGUGACAUUUGGGGAGGCAUGAUUUACUUCAUGAAAUGGGUAGAAAUAUUGUUCUCCAUGAAUCUCUUAAUGAUGAUGGCAAGCGGAGUAGGUUGUGGUCUCUCAAGGAUAUUGAUCAAGUAUUGAGAAAUAAUAAGGGAACUAAAUCCAUUCAAGCUCUAGUUCUAAAUCUGUGUGAACCAUUUGAAGCAAACCUUGAAGUUUUUGCAAAGAUGAGUAAUUUUGGAUUGCUUGUGAUAUUAACUAAAUUGCAACUUCCACUUGGUCUCAAAUGUCUUCCCAGUGGGUCAAAAGUUCUUGUAUGGAAGGAAUAUCCUCUCGAGUCAUUGCCAGUUGGAGACCAAUUGGAUGAACUUGUUGACCUUGAUAUGUGUCAUAGCAAAAUAAAGCACAUUUGGAGAGAUCACAUGCACAUCUUUGUGUGUAUAUAUACAUAUAUGUAUAGAUAGAACUUGAGUUUUAAACCCUUCACGCUAUAAAUCUGUAAUAAACUCUAAUACCAUAUUAAAAUUUGGGUUUAAGAUCUAACUCAAUCCUAAAAGCUCACCCAAGAGGUAAGAAUUACUGGAGCCUUAUAUAAGGACUACUUUAGUCAUAUCUCUAGUAAAUGAGAGAUGUCAACACAUGCAAACGUACAUAAUGUAUUUAUUUAUGCAUUUUCAGUUUCCGGAACAUUUGAAGGCCAUCAAUUUGAGAAAUUCCAAAUAUCUACAUCAAACUCCAGAUUUAACUGGAAUUCCAAAUCUUGAAAAUUUUUGGAUGAGAUAUCCAUAAAUGAACUACCUCCAACUAUUGGUUAUGUGACAGGUCUUAAUAACUUGCUUUUACGGGAUUGUAAAUUUUUUGUCUCCCUUCCAAACACAUGAGGCUUUGGAGUGUCUUAAUGCGAGUAACACUCCUAUAAGAGAAAUUCCUUCCUCCAUUGUUGAUUUGAACAAUCUUAUAUUACUUUUAUUUCAUGGAUGCAAAGGACUAGCAUGGAACUCAGAGAGCUCACACCUCUCUAAGUUCCUACUACUAAUGUUUUAUGUCAACUAUGUCAAAAGUUGUUGGAGAAUGGUUUCGUUUCUGUUGUAGGAAAUUACAAGUGUCCUC